RNAcentral lists this transfer RNA (66 nucleotides) under Curculionidae sp. BMNH 1040049. RNAcentral describes it as "tRNA-Asp". Lineage: Eukaryota; Metazoa; Arthropoda; Insecta; Coleoptera; Curculionidae. The record is from RNAcentral.
AAAAAUUUAGUUAAUUCACAUAACAUUGAUUUGUCAUAUCAAAAUUAUUUUAAAAUAUAAUUUUUU